GAUGAACGCUGGCGGCAGGCUUAACACAUGCAAGUCGAGCGGGGGAAGGUAGCUUGCUACUGGACCUAGCGGCGGACGGGUGAGUAAUGCUUAGGAAUCUGCCUAUUAGUGGGGGACAACAUCUCGAAAGGGAUGCUAAUACCGCAUACGUCCUACGGGAGAAAGCAGGGGAUCUUCGGACAUUGCGCUAAUAGAUGAGCCUAAGUCGGGUUAGCUAGUUGGUGGGGUAAAGGCCUACCAAGGCGACGAUAUGUAGCGGGUCUGAGAGGAUGAUCCGCCACACUGGGACUGAGACACGGCCCAGACUCCUACGGGAGGCAGCAGUGGGGAAUAUUGGACAAUGGGGGGAACCCUGAUCCAGCCAUGCCGCGUGUGUGAAGAAGGCCUUAUGGUUGUAAAGCACUUUAAGCGAGGAGGAGGCUACUUUAGUUAAUACCUAGAGAUAGUGGACGUUACUCGCAGAAUAAGCACCGGCUAACUCUGUGCCAGCCGCCGCCGUAA
This 501-nucleotide ribosomal RNA is filed under the name uncultured bacterium. Its description in RNAcentral is "partial 16S ribosomal RNA". It matches the Rfam family "Bacterial small subunit ribosomal RNA", at positions 28 to 523 of the family's 1533-position model. The record is from RNAcentral.